Molecule: transfer RNA, 75 nt
Filed under: Caudoviricetes sp.
Lineage: Duplodnaviria; Heunggongvirae; Uroviricota; Caudoviricetes
Description: tRNA-Met
Rfam family: tRNA
About the family: Transfer RNA (tRNA) molecules are approximately 80 nucleotides in length. Their secondary structure includes four short double-helical elements and three loops (D, anti-codon, and T loops). Further hydrogen bonds mediate the characteristic L-shaped molecular structure. tRNAs have two regions of fundamental functional importance: the anti-codon, which is responsible for specific mRNA codon recognition, and the 3' end, to which the tRNAs corresponding amino acid is attached (by aminoacyl-tRNA synthetases). tRNAs cope with the degeneracy of the genetic code in two manners: having more than one tRNA (with a specific anti-codon) for a particular amino acid; and 'wobble' base-pairing, i.e. permitting non-standard base-pairing at the 3rd anti-codon position.
Source: RNAcentral
UGCGGGGUGGAGCAGCGGUAGCUCGCCGGGUUCAUGUCCCGGAGGUCGUGGGUUCGAAUCCCAUCUCCGCUACAA